Coniosporium apollinis CBS 100218 is the source of this 136-nucleotide non-coding RNA. Lineage: Eukaryota; Fungi; Ascomycota; Dothideomycetes. The record is from the annotation of a RefSeq genome assembly.
GCGGGCGUAGUCUAGCGGUAAGACAACCCCACAUAGCCUAUCUCAGGAAUCAAAACUAAUCGCCACCCAGGUUAUGAUGUGUCCUUUACAGCCUGUAAAUCGGACAAGGUCGGGAGUUCGAGCCUCCCCGCCCGUA